This is a long non-coding RNA of Argentina anserina (silverweed cinquefoil), 1510 nucleotides long. RefSeq lists it as uncharacterized. The record is from RefSeq and is a predicted model, not a curated record. NCBI's taxonomy places the organism in Eukaryota, Viridiplantae, Streptophyta, Magnoliopsida, Rosales, Rosaceae. The transcript has 3 exons.
UUUUCUUCUCUUUCCUUCUCCCCAAGCUCCCUCUCUGCUUCCCUCUGCUGACGCCGAUAGGACCAGCUCCGGCCACCGAUCGAGCUCACCAUCACCACCAAUCAAUCAAGUCGUCUCUCCAAAUAAGACCUAUCGAGCCUUUGACUCUGACUCCUCCCUUCACGAUCCAAUGACCCAGUGCCUAAGCCAAGGCGAUCAUUGUCGUCUAGUCAGCUCCGACUGGCGCGCCACCCUCGUUUGAACCACCACGGCAACAACAACACAUUCCUAUUUUCGGUUUCUCCAAUCGACGACUGUGCAAGAAGAGCUUGUGGUGAACAGUCCUUGUGAUCUUCAAUUUCAAGUUUUCAAUUCAAUUUUGACAAAACCCCUCUUUUUUAGGGUUUCUGCUCCGCCUUAUCUCCACCAUGUCCACCUCCGUAUAGUGAGUCACCAACCUGCACAAGGAAAUUCCUCCUCCCUUAUAUUGAUUUCAGUUUGGAGAAUCAAUGCCUAGCGGCCCUAGCCUCAUAUUCUCUCUUAUCUGGUUAUUUACUCCACUGUAUCUCCACCUUUAGCUCUAUUUUCCCCCGCGUCGAACCUGCGGAGGUUUAAUACGAUUGUCUGCAAUCUGACACAGUGAACUUUAUACAGUUGUCUGCAAUCCGACAGAUCCAGUGUUAGUUGCUACAGGGGUGGAGAUGACAAGAGGGUUUCUUUGGAAGAUUGGACAAGGAGAUUGGGCUUCUGAGCUCUAAGGCCAUAAGGAUUAUGUUUCCAGUUUAGCAUUUAGUACUGAUGGACAGUUCGUUGCAUCUGGAAGCUUGGAUGGAAUUAUCCAAUUCUAGGAUACAACAUCAACUAAUCUGAAAAGCACACUUGAAGGUCCUGGAGGGGGCAUUGAGUGUUUUCAGAUGCGACGCCGAAGCGUCGCCGGACGAGCGGCGGAGCGAUGCGAAGCGAAUCGACUUCAAUCUCCAGAUCGCAGGUCAGUUUGGGUUGUUUGAGAGUGCUCCGGCCGUCGUCUUGAUUGAAGAGACCAGUGCUCCGGCCGGGAACGUCGCAGCCUCACAGGAGGCAAGACUUCUUCUUGGCUCGCAGGAUUCUUCUGGCUCCAAGAGACAAAGAGUCGAGAGUGUUCCGGCCGUUGUCUUGAUUGAAGAGACACCGGUGCUCCGGCCGUCGCAGCCUCGCAAGACCUCUUCUUGGAUCGCAGCAUCGCACUUCUGGGUUCGCAGCAUCGCAGGCGGCACGAUUACUGGGUCGAAGAGAAGAGACGAAGAGGAAGAUGCAAAUUUUUUUUUCUCUAGGCCAAAACGACGUCGUUUUGGCACAUUUCAUUUAACCAAAACGGUUCCGUUUUGAUUAGUUUCAAACGACACAAAAGGGUUUUAUCAAUUAUACAAGUGAUUCAUAAUUUCAACCUAGCAUGUCAUUUUCUGAAUACUCUCUGCCUCCCUCAUUCUCUCUGCCCUCUACCUCCGUGAGUCUCUCUUCCUCUCCAUUGGAGAUCAAAUUUUGUGCUGCCUAU